RNAcentral lists this ribosomal RNA (483 nucleotides) under uncultured bacterium. RNAcentral describes it as "partial 16S ribosomal RNA". It matches the Rfam family "Bacterial small subunit ribosomal RNA", at positions 28 to 507 of the family's 1533-position model. The record is from RNAcentral.
GACGAACGCUGGCGGCGUGCUUAACACAUGCAAGUCGAACGCUGAAGCUCAGCUUUUGUUGGGUGGAUGAGUGGCGAACGGGUGAGUAACACGUGAGUAACCUGCCCCCUUCUUUGGGAUAACGCCCGGAAACGGGUGCUAAUACUGGAUAUUCACUGGUCUUCGCAUGGGGGUUGGUGGAAAGGGUUUUUCUGGUGGGGGAUGGGCUCGCGGCCUAUCAGCUUGUUGGUGGGGUGCUGGCCUACCAAGGCUUUGACGGGUAGCCGGCCUGAGAGGGUGACCGGUCACAUUGAGACUGAGAUACGGCCCAGACUCCUACGGGAGGCAGCAGUGGGGAAUAUUGCACAAUGGGCGCAAGCCUGAUGCAGCGACGCCGCGUGAGGGAUGGAGGCCUUCGGGUUGUGAACCUCUUUCGCUCAUGGUCAAGCCGCAACAAUGGUUGUGGUGAGGGUAGUGGGUAAAGAAGCGCCGGCUAACUACGUG